This is a non-coding RNA of Sphingobium chlorophenolicum L-1, 72 nucleotides long. The record is from Rfam. NCBI's taxonomy places the organism in Bacteria, Pseudomonadati, Pseudomonadota, Alphaproteobacteria, Sphingomonadales, Sphingobiaceae.
GGGCGCGUAGCUCAGCGGUAGAGCACACCCUUCACACGGGUGGGGUCGCAGGUUCAAUCCCUGCCGCGCCCA